GCCUCCCUGGGAUGUUCGUGAUUUACGAUUUUUAUUUUACCAACAUUUUUUAUAAGGGAAUCUAGCUUCGUCUGUGGCGCAUAUGCCCCCCGCGGAUACGCGGCCAGGGGACAUGUAAAGCAGAUGAGAGGAUACCCACCUGCUCAGGCAGGUAAAAAUAAAUCGAACAACACGGCACCCUGGGGACUUU
Molecule: non-coding RNA, 190 nt
Filed under: Clostridiales bacterium
Lineage: Bacteria; Bacillati; Bacillota; Clostridia; Eubacteriales
Description: 6S RNA
Rfam family: 6S / SsrS RNA
About the family: E. coli 6S RNA was the first non coding RNA to be sequenced, but its function was unknown until recently. It consists of 184 nucleotides that fold into an extended hairpin structure with a large single-stranded internal bulge.
Source: RNAcentral